Rattus norvegicus (Norway rat) is the source of this 2366-nucleotide non-coding RNA. The record is from RefSeq and is a predicted model, not a curated record. Lineage: Eukaryota; Metazoa; Chordata; Mammalia; Rodentia; Muridae.
AUAAAAUCAUCUUAAUCAGGCAAAAUGGCAUUAUGAAACAACAAAACCUAGCUUUCCUAUGGUUUUAGCUAUUAAUGGUCUUUACAUUAAAAAAUACCGAGAUAAUCAUCAUAAGUAAAAUGAGGGAAGACAUCAUGAAUAGGCCAAUUUUCGAGCUUUUCUUCUUUUUCUUUUUUUAUGUAGGAGUCUGUUCAGUCUUUCAGGCUGAGAGCAACUCUCUUCAGGGUUCCAAGAGGAAUGCUUUGAAACCAGGAAACUUUGAUAUGGGUUUGUCUUCCUGAAUGAAGUCCUCCAGCUUGCUUCUAAGAUGACUAGGAAGAAAUGCCUUCUUCAUGCCCGGAAUCAGCUCCGCCAAUAAAGACUUUGGGAAGUAAUGGGGAAAUGAGGAGAUUUGUUCUUCAGUGGUAUAUGGUGGGGAAGUAAAUCUAAGGGUCAAAGAGGCUUCUGUGGAGAGUUGGGGCAGAUGAAGGCUUUGUAUUUAGUUCACUGAGAUAUACUGAGUUUGGGAAUGGGCAAGUUGGGCAAAUGUGUGAGUGACUUUCCUAAACCAGCUAUGUAAUGUUUUUAUUUGUGAGUUAGAACAACAUGAUGUUUUUUACAAGAGAAAGAAGGAGGAGGAGAAGAAAGUGGCAUUGGCGUUGGAGGAGGAGGAGGAAGAGAAGGAGGAUCAUCCAGGAGAAGCUUUCUGGAGACACCCAGACAGAUGGGCUGGAGUUCACUUCAUCCUUGGAUGAAACCAUGGUGUGCACUAUCCUGCUUGGGAGUAACCUAUUCACACCCUUCACUUCUGAUAGAGUCAAAGCAGGCAGGAUGCCAACUAUAUACAAAGAAGGUUCUAGACCCAGCUUCAGGAAUUCUCUGUGUACAGCUAUAUGUCAUAAACCACAGCUGUCAGUUAAUGUGUGAACCUGCUCACAACCUGAUCUGGUUGCUUAUCCCAGUAACUGAGGUGUUAACCCAUUUUGGAAUUCUUCAAUUAACAAACAAUAACUUUCAAAGGAAUCCUCUUAAAACUGUACUCUCAGCACUGCCUGCCUUCCCAAUGUUCUCACACUUAAUACUUCAUCUCUUGCUAUUGGUUUCCUGAUUCGGGCCUUUACUUUUUUUUCUUUUUUCUUUUUCCUUUUUGUAGUAUGCCAUUUAUAACAAUUACUCUGUCUCAUCCAGAAACACAAAUACUAAGAUUCUGUGAAAACACAGCAUUUACUUACUAAGAUGAAACAGAAAUUUUAUGCUCCAUUUUACUGAUAUUAAAAUUACUAUUCAAACCAGAAUAUGAGAAAUGAGACAACAAGUAAAAUGAUUGGUUAAAUCUUUGCAGGUUUUAUUUGUUAUUGUUUGUGUGGUUUAGUAAAUUUUAAAAGUCAUCUAAUUGUUAGUUCGUGAUCAUUUCAAUACUAGUCCAAUGGAUGGAAGGAUAAAAGAGUUGACCAUUUUGCAGGGAGACUAUUGAGUGGCCACAUUCCAAUCUCCCUCCAGGAAUUGAAAAUAGCUGUGGAAAUCUUUUUUUAACCAUGUGAAAUAAAUCUUAGCAAUGUCACUGAAAGAUUUACAAAUUUACUAUUAUUCUGCUAGUAUAAAGUUAUUAUUGAAUAAUAUGGCUAAUGCAAUCACAGGGGACAGAGAAUGAUGGUUUUCCAGGACUUUGAGUUUAAAGUGUAUUUAUUCAUCUCUGUACACUUCUUUCACCACAUGCAACAACUGUGAAACAGUUGAUGUUCCUUCUGUUCUGAUGAAGCUGUCUAGGAACUCAUUUUGUCCCUUGUAUGAUUGUAAGAUCUGAUUUGGCAGCCUAUGCUCCUCCUCACACUGCACAGGCAUCCUCUGGGGCAUGGGCAUCCCCUGGUGUAGAGGCAUCCUCUGGGACAUGAACAUCUCUUGGGGCACAGGCUGUGCACAUUUCCCCCAUGGCUCUUGGAUGUUCGUUACAUUUCCUCUGGAGUAGUAUUUAUGCCUCACCGCACACUGAUGUUGUCUGUUUCCUUCUCCUAAAUUACUGCCUGCUGUUCUUCAGAAUGUCUGUCCUGUCCCAGUUCUUGCUGUUGUGCCUCUAUAUGCCCCUGCCAUAGUUACUUGAGUUACCGGGGUUAUUCUGGCUACUAAGACAGAUACAAAAUGAUAAGUAGUUGUUUUAGUUUGUUGUUCUCUGAUUACUAACAAAUUAGAUAUUUUAAAGACAUGUUUAUUUGUCUUUUGGGUUCCCAAAAUUUCCUCUGCUUACUUUAUUUUUGAAUUCUACAUAUGUGUUUCUCUGUCCUUAUGUUUGUGCAAGUGCCCUCUGAUGCCAGAAGACCAUAUCUCACUUCCUGGAACUGGAAUUAAAACUGGUUGUGUGCAGCCUCAUAUGGAUGCUGCAAACUGAAUCU